This 253-nucleotide ribosomal RNA is filed under the name uncultured bacterium. Its description in RNAcentral is "partial 16S ribosomal RNA". It matches the Rfam family "Bacterial small subunit ribosomal RNA", at positions 524 to 776 of the family's 1533-position model. The record is from RNAcentral.
UACAGAGGUCUCAAGCGUUGUUCGGAUUCAUUGGGCGUAAAGGGUGCGUAGGCGGCUUGUCAAGUCAGGGGUGAAAUCCGGCAGCUUAACUGUCGAAGUGCCUUUGAUACUGGCGAGCUCGAGGGAGGUAGGGGUCCGUGGAACUUCUGGUGGAGCGGUGAAAUGCGUUGAUAUCAGAAGGAACGCCGGUGGCGAAAGCGACGGACUGGAUCUCUUCUGACGCUGAGGCACGAAAGCUAGGGGAGCAAACGGG